UUGAACGCUGGCGGCAUGCUUUACACAUGCAAGUCGAGCGGCAGCGCGGGGGCAACCCUGGCGGCGAGCGGCGAACGGGUGAGUAAUGCAUCGGAACGUAUCCUCGAGUGGGGGAUAACCCAGCGAAAGUUGGGCUAAUACCGCAUGAGCUCUGAGGAGGAAAGCGGGGGACCUGCGAGGGCCUCGCGCUGGAGGAGCGGCCGAUGUCCGAUUAGCUAGUUGGUGGGGUAAAGGCUUACCAAGGCGACGAUCGGUAGCUGGUCUGAGAGGAUGAUCAGCCACACUGGGACUGAGACACGGCCCAGACUCCUACGGGAGGCAGCAGUGGGGAUUUUUGGACAAUGGGGGCAACCCUGAUCCAGCCAUGCCGCGUGAGUGAAGAAGGCCUUCGGGUUGUAAAGCUCUUUCGGACGGAACGAAAUGGGCGGGACUAAUACUCCUGUCUGAUGACGGUACCGUAAGAAGAAGCACCGGCUAACUACG
This 483-nucleotide ribosomal RNA is filed under the name uncultured bacterium. Its description in RNAcentral is "partial 16S ribosomal RNA". It matches the Rfam family "Bacterial small subunit ribosomal RNA", at positions 29 to 505 of the family's 1533-position model. The record is from RNAcentral.